Long non-coding RNA from Drosophila miranda, 1648 nucleotides. RefSeq lists it as uncharacterized. Lineage: Eukaryota; Metazoa; Arthropoda; Insecta; Diptera; Drosophilidae. The record is from RefSeq and is a predicted model, not a curated record. The transcript has 2 exons.
UGAUCCGAGCCAUUCGGCAUGAUUGUUGUUGUUUUUUGUUUAUUUUGUCACAAUCAUUGUUUACGUUUUCGCAGUGAAUACCAUUUUUUCGUUGUGAGUGACAAUUAUUCAGAGUUGCAUUUGAAAACCAUCGGCUAACUAUCGCAUAGAAACGUGCGGUUUAGGAACAUCCAAAAUGGAUGUGGACUAACUGGGAAAUUUUCAGAACGGCAAAACCUUACGGACCAUCCCCGAAAUGGAUGGUGGAUGGUGGAUGGUCGUCAGUGUGAAGAGCCUAUAUAGCUGUUUUAGACUUAACGGGAACUGCAUAUGCAUACUUCGAGAACGUGUCAAUUACUGUCAGCAAGUAUCUAAAUCUUUUGUUUUCCUUCUAAAAGGGUAUCAUUUCAACUAAAUCGAUUUUCCACGUGUCAUUAAUUCCCUUUUGUACGAAUUUACGACGAAUAAAAUGCCUUCUAGCAGGCUUAUGUAUUUCAUUAACAACUUGUUGCUUACUCAUUUUUAAUAUAAUUUUUAUUUUUUAUUGCUAUCUUGGGAUGAUUGCUUAUCUAAAAGUGUUUGCCUAUACUCAAGAACAUCGCGUUUUAUUUGAUUACAUAUUUUUUUGGAAAUUUCAAAGCAUAAACGGGUUAAAUCUAUUUGCACAUUUCUAUCAUAAGUACCGUCUAAAUCAGCUAGGUGAACAUCAAACUUUUGUAAGGCUGCACACUUAGGAAUAAUAUUAUUAUAGUAGAGUGGUCCUAAUUCUUUUUGAUUGAAGCGUGUCCAUUUGGGUUGAAUGCUUUUGUUAAACUAAGAACUCUUAGUGAAUUGGGCUGUAUAUAAAGGAGAUAGACAUCAACGACUCAUUCAGUUUCUUACAAAAUCUCAAACCAACAUGAACACAAUCGACAGGAAUUCAAGCGUAAUAGUUGAUUUUCAAUAUCUUUUUGGAAACAAUAAACAACUUUUUAUUAAGGAAUUGGCGUUUAUGCAAACCGGAACAGUAACACCAAACUUCUUUCAUUUCAAACCACCUUAUCAUCUGAAUAAAUUGGAUAAUGAAAUGAUUAAACAACAAAAUAUUAAUCGUCAAACCAUAAAUGGAUUGGAAUGGUCAGAUGGUGAAAUAUCAUAUUUAAGUUUAGGUGAAAUACUUUCACCACUAAAAAGAUUUAGCACCGUCAUUGUACGUGGUGAAAUUAAAAAAAAGUUUUUAUUUAAGUAUUUAACAAAUAAUAUUAUAGAUAUCGAUGUAGGAAAAAGUUCCACAUUUUAUUCAAAUUUUUUUACAAUCUGUAGAAUCCACAAAAAAAUUCCUCUUAGAUGUGCUCUAAAUAAUUUAUUUAAGCUAUUUGUUAUCUUGGAAAAUUCUAACUACGCUGUCUACUGUAAUGAUGACUCAUAUGUUUAGAUUGUCAGUUUAUAUUCAACACUUGUAGUAACUAGUUGUUUAAAAUAGAUUCACUUAAGCGUUUGCUUGAAAAUGAUCCUCACAAAAGCGGAUGCACACAAGUUGUUUAUUGUAAUUAUUGCGGAUCUGAUACUCACUUAGAAAAAAACUGUCCCAAAAAGCGCGAUCAGGAGACGCGUAAUUAGAAUAUCUUAGAUGUUAGAAAACAUUUAUAAAAUAUCAAUAAAUAAAACAUAACCAAAAAUUUUUAAGCAA